CCCUUAGAUGCUCUGGGCCGCACGCGCGCUACACUGGUCGAUGCAACGAGUUUCUUUCCUUGGCCGACAGGCCUGGGCAAUCUUUGAGCAUCGAUCGUGAUCGGGAUAGAUUCUUGUAAUUUUUGAUCUUAAACGAGGAAUUCCUAGUAAACGCAAGUCAUCAGCUUGCAUUGAUUACGUCCCUGCCCUUUGUACACACCGCCCGUCGCACCUACCGAUUGAAUGGUCCGGUGAAAUCUCCGGACUGGCGUGAGUCGGAGCAAUCUGACAAACACCGGAAAGUUGAUUAAACCUUACCAUUUAGAGGAAGGUGAAGUCGUAACA
RNAcentral lists this ribosomal RNA (324 nucleotides) under uncultured eukaryote. Its description in RNAcentral is "partial 18S ribosomal RNA". It matches the Rfam family "Eukaryotic small subunit ribosomal RNA", at positions 1470 to 1796 of the family's 1831-position model. The record is from RNAcentral.